AACCUCCUCCACCGGCCAGAAUCCCGGUUUCUCGGUCCGGGGAGUGGGAGGAUGGAGGAAGCGAGGGAGGAAGGAGAGAAGGAAAAGGUGAACAGGCGAGCAGGGCGCUGUGCCAGGGAGCAGCAUCCAGGACCGUAAUUGUGGGCAAGGGCGGGGGACGUUCUGGGCGAGUGUGCCCGAGACCAGGCGCGUACACGUGUGUGUGUGUGUGUGUGUGUGUGUGUGUGUGUGUGUGCGCGCGUGUAUGUGUAAGAGAGAGGAGCGGAGCCUACCAUGCGCUUCCCUGGUGCGGAUCGCGGGAGAGCCCAAUCACAGGGCGAGCUGGACCUGGCUGUGAUCAUUUAUAAUCCUUGACUCCUCCGCUCAGCCACUUGUCAAGAUGACAGCCACAAAGACCUGACUGUCAGGCUCAGACUGAGUUUCUGCAGCUCUGUCACCUCUUCCACUAAAGGGAUUCCAGACACUGAAGAGCUGGCAGACAUGACAUUGACAGCUAUAGUUCAGACACUAGAGCAACCAACCCGUCUUUUGAAAAGCUCAGAGAGACUGAGUGCAAAGAGAAGCGAGAAUAAAGAAUAAGCUAACUGGAAGGAAGACCGAGCCUGUGGGACCCCAGGCUUAGCAUCCUGUUCUCGUGGAGUGCACAUUUCUGCUUUGAGUCUCUUCACACCAGUGAGAGGAUGCUGGACCUCAUCUCAAGAAUUUGCCCUGUCAUUUGGAAACUGGAAUUAAAUCAGGCUUGAUCCAGGAGUUAAGGAAGGCAAUAAGAAUAGAGGAGGCAUGAACACACAAGAACUUGGGAAGAGAGGAAUGUGAGCUGUGAAAAACCAAGCAGAAGUGUUUCCAUCUCAAUGGCACUAUGAGCUGGAGAAGUCAUAGGAAACCAAAGCACUCAAGAGGAGACACAGCUAUCAAGAACUCCUGUCCACCGGGCAUUGGUGGAAGGAGAUGAAGCCAUUUUUACCAACCUGAACCUUUUUUCCGUGGGGCACUAUACAGCUUAACCUAUGAACUCUGUCGAGCCGUUGAGGGCUCCUAAACAAUUUCUUAGCACGGAGUUCCUCUUUUCAGCAAACCCUGCUUCUCACUGAGUACAGAGUCGAAGCAAUCCUACAGCACUAACAUUUCAAUUGUUGCAUAUGGAGCCCAGUACAUAAAGGACUCCCCAAAGAGAGCGGUUUAUAACUGGAUUAUAGCUGCUCCACACAUUUAACUUUCCAUGAAUAGUUUCUGACGUUUUGAAGCACCCCAAGUCAUAACUUUUCUAUCCACGCAUGUAGGAAAGCAGUCACUGAUUGUGCGUUUCUUCAUUGACCAGAAUACAAACAUGGAUGAGACUGUUAGCACCCAUGGUAUCUGAGGGAGAACUUACAGAAUUUGUUUACCUAUGUUAUAUAUAAGACAAUAGAUUGUAUAUACAAAUAUAGAAAACAUUUCACUUGUUUGUAUGUGCACUAUAUGUAUUUUGAGUGCAGAUCAAGUAUGUAAUGGUCCCACUUAUUAUUAGUUUCAUUUUUUUACAAUUUCAUAACUGUGGCCUAAAAAUAGUAGGUGGAAAAUUUUAGAAGCAAUCCACACAUAUGUGUUAAAUUACACGACAUUUUGAGUACCGGGAUAAAUUCUCAUUCUGUAUUGCUUCUUCUUGCCCAAAAUAUAACUCAUUUCUCUGGUCAGUGCAUCUGCUCUGUAUAUCUUGCCUGCUACCUCCAUGAUCAGAACCAUUUAGGAACAGUGUAGGGUCUGUAUUCAAAUCAACCUGUUAUGCUUAGCAGUGUCUCAGUCAUGAUACUGAAAACUGAAUAUGUUAGAGAAAAAUUGGCUAGUGUCUUCUUCAAGUGAAAUGUAAAGGUCUCCACUUGAGGGGGGUUUUAUAGAGCUAUCAUGUUGUUAAAUCAUAUACUAGGCAUGUUUUAUAAAUUAACCUAUGUUAUAGAUAUGUAUGUACAAGAGAAAAGCAUGGUGCAUAUAGGGGCUGGUAUUAUUUGUGAUUUCUGAUAUUCACUGUAUUCUUGGAACACAGAAUUGUAUACCAUUGGCUUUCCCCAACCCUAAUGUUGUAUGUUUAAUGGAGACUUUGUUCUGUGACUAUUAAUCAAGUUCUGAACUCUACCAAGGAAGCACACACUUAUAUACACUUUCCUUACUAAGAAAA
Molecule: long non-coding RNA, 2152 nt
Filed under: Mus musculus (house mouse)
Lineage: Eukaryota; Metazoa; Chordata; Mammalia; Rodentia; Muridae
Description: predicted gene, 19744
Source: RNAcentral